Sitodiplosis mosellana (orange wheat blossom midge) is the source of this 2384-nucleotide long non-coding RNA. RefSeq lists it as uncharacterized. The record is from RefSeq and is a predicted model, not a curated record. Lineage: Eukaryota; Metazoa; Arthropoda; Insecta; Diptera; Cecidomyiidae. The transcript has 4 exons.
UGAAAUAUUCAUGUACUACUAUGUUGUUGCGCAUCGUAAUUCAAAUUUUCUAUUUGAACAAGUACAUAAGUAAAUGCCAUUUUUGGUCCAAAUCAAUCUCCUUCCUUCUAUUCAACAUUACGGAUAAAUCGAAUUGUAACUCAGCUCAAAGGGUAGAAACAAUGGCGCAUCAAAUGGAGUGCAGCUCCAUUCAAUUUAAUGUUAAAGGAAUUUUGGUUUUGAACACUGGAACGUUGUUCAAACUCAUGGGAAUGGUCUUCACAUACGUCAUAUUGUUCAUUCAAUUUUCACAAAUGUUAUAAUUUCUGAACUUAAUGCUAAAUAUCAACAAGAAAAUACAGUACUUACUUGCGAUGGGAAUGCGACGUGUAGAAAAAAUAUGAGUAGAUGAGAUGAUUGAUUUUUAAAAUAAAUAGCUCAAUCAAAAACUGUAGGUAAUAAAAUUACCUUCUUGGCACUUGUAAAAGUAGAUUUUUGCUAUUCGAAUGCUAAGUACUUACACAAAAAUUCAAAGCAUCAAGUGAGCGCCAAAGCUACUGAAGUAGAAUAAAUGUCUUGAAGUAAAUUUGGCUUGAUUUGAUUUGACAUGUUCCUACUUCAAAUGAGUAGUUUGGAGCGAAAAUGUAAUACAGACAAGUUGCGCGGAAAAAUGUCAAAUGAAAAGAGAUAGCUAGAACUAUAUAGCUAUCCCUUUUCCGCUCAUUCAUCAUCGACAUUUUUCUGCGCAACUUUUCUGUAUUACAUUUUUGCUAUAAAUAGUUCUGACGCUUACAUGGCGUGUUUAUCGAAUCAAUGUUGAUCAAAUAAAUAUCAGUUCAAAUUAUUCAAGUAAAACUCCCUAACGCAGAAAGUAGCGCUAACAGCAUUGUCAUAAAAUUAUUAGCCUAUAGCAGUAAAAAGCGCAAACCUAGUAUAUGGAGAUUGAAUGCCAUAAAAAAACACACGGAAAUUGCGGUGGGCUUGAUCGGUGCAUUUAUUAAAAGCAUGGCAAAAGAAUACAAUUAAAAUGAAAGCAUUAUUUUAUAAUUAUAAUUAUCUAUUACAACUCAUAUGAACUAGAUGGGCAGUUUGCACUCUGUAUUAGCUCGAUUCGGCUCUAUGAUACACAAAGUAUAUACAGUAUACACAGAAGCGGAACAGCGCCAAUAUACUCAAACACUAUGAACAAUAUUCACGUGUAUCGUGUUGGCCCGUGCUCUGUAUAGCAUAGAAUGGAAUGGAGCAGCAUCGACCAUUCUUACAAGAUCGAUAUUCAAGUGUAAUGGAAUAAGAAAAUAUCAGAGUCGAUAUUUGAAAAGAUGGUUUUUCAUAGUAGCAUUACGAAUAUGAAACAAUUCAAAAGGCUUCGUUAAAAACAGAACAGCGCAAAGCAAAAUAUUUAAAACGGCACACGCUAUGUUUCAUUCUUACGGCUUUCUUUUCCAUAUUCCAUUUUAUUGGAACCUUCGUUAUAACCACAUCCAAUCAUCAAUAUUGUAAUAUUCAUAAUCAUGAAUAAUGCACUGAAAUAUGAACAUUUCCACUGUAACAGAUGUACCGUUGUUUGAUUUUCUGACAAUUUCACAUGGUUUCGUAAUGUGGAUAUGAUGAAUGCAUUGUCGCACAUCCAUUGCAUUGGGAAAUUCUAUUAUUGAUUUCAGUGUAAUGAACACAUUUCCACCCAGAAUUCGAAGAAGAGUAAGCGAGGAAAAUGUAUUGCAUUUCCAAUUGUUCCUAGUAAACUCAUGAAUAAAUUGUGAUUUGGCGACAGAAAUUCGGAAUGCGUCCUUCGAGUGUCUGGUUUUAACAAUCAGAAAAUAUCUGUGCCCUCUCCUCAAAGGUAUUGAUAAGUGCAAUUAAAUAAGAAAAUAUCAGAGUAAGUAUUUGAAAAGAUAGUUUUUCAUAGUAGCGUUACGAAUUAGUGUUGAGACAGGCCUCUAAAAAUCAAGUAAUAAGAACAGGAUGAUUUGAAAAUCUGCGUAAAAAAGAGAUCAAGAAUAGACUAGUGAUAAUUUCAAUAAUUAUUUUAAAUAAAAUUAGUAACUUUGGCUUAUAGUAAAGCAGAGAAAAUGAAUAAAUGAUGCUUGCCUUUCCACAGACUUCUAAAUUACAACUUAUCAACUUGAAUCCUUUGAAAAAGAUCGGUUUCUGUGAGCGAGCCAUGAUCAAAACGAUGUAUCACUGCAGUUCUGGUGGAUACUCGUACCAGUCCAAAUCGUAAGCAACAUCGCCCAGCGACACAAAUUGUUCGGUAGCAAAAGUUGCAAAUUUACACAGAAGAAAGGGCCAGGCCAACGAACAGCUUAUGCAAAUGAUGUUAAAUGCAAAUUCAACUAUAUUGAACGGUGACUGAUGAUAAAGAAAAAUAAAAUAUUAUUGGAAAAGUACACAAUUUAGUCGACAGA